GAUGAAGAACGCAGCGAAAUGCGAUAAGUAGUGUGAAUUGCAGAAUUCAGUGAAUCAUCGAAUCUUUGAACGCACAUUGCGCCCCUUGGUAUUCCAUGGGGCAUGCCUGUUCGAGCGUCAUUUGUACCUUCAAGCUCUGCUUGGUGUUGGGUGUUUGUCUCGCCUCUGCGUGUAGACUCGCCUCAAAACAAUUGGCAGCCGGCGUAUUGAUUUCGGAGCGCAGUACAUCUCGCGCUUUGCACUCAUAACGACGACGUCCAAAAGUACAUUUUUACACUCUUGACCUCGGAUCAGGUAGGGAUACCGGCUGAACUUAAGCAUAUCAAUAAGCGGAGGA
RNAcentral lists this unclassified non-coding RNA (337 nucleotides) under soil metagenome. RNAcentral's name for it is "partial contains 5.8S ribosomal RNA, internal transcribed spacer 2, and large subunit ribosomal RNA". The stretch from base 1 to 120 matches the Rfam family "5.8S ribosomal RNA", at positions 35 to 154 of the family's 154-position model. The record is from RNAcentral.